GGCAGGUCCAGAGUCAAAGCAGAGCUAAACGCCUCGACAGAGAGUGCAGAGCGUCCACCGUACCGUAGCAGAGCAACGGCGACGGUGCGACACCAUGCGCUCUCCGGCGAGCCUGCUGCACCGCAGCACGGCCGCCGCCGGCCCCGGCGAGCCUCCAUCGCUGCCGCCGCCUCGGCCCGAGCAGCAGUCGCUCGUGGUCACCGUGGACUCGGACAUGGUGGUGAUCCUGGCGUCGCUGCUCUGCGUCCUCCUCUGCGUCCUCGGCCUCGCCCUCCUGUCCCGGCGCGCGUGCCGCCGCCGGUCCUCCGACAACUACCCUCCUCCCCCCAAGGGCCUCAAGAGGAAGGCCAUCGACGCGCUCCCCACCGUCUCCUUCGCCGCGGCAGCUUCGUCGUCGUCGGAGUGCGCGAUAUGCCUGGCGGAGUUCGCCGACGGAGAGCCCGUGCGCGUGCUCCCGGGAUGCGGCCACGGCUUCCACGUCGCCUGCGUCGACGCCUGGCUCCGGACUCGCGCCACGUGCCCGUCCUGCCGGGCCGCCAUCGUUGCCACGCCCAUGCAGAUGCAGGUACAGCCAGCGGCGGCGCCCACCGUGGUAGUUGUCGUGGCAGGGAGUAGCAGCUGCCGGAGAUGUGGCCAGGUGACGGCGCCGGCCGGUGCACGUGCUGCCGACGGGGCGUUCUUGGCUUAGUCACCGUUCUUGGCUCGGCCUCUGCUUUUUAUGAGUUCGUUUAUUAUGGUGCUCUGCUCUCUGGCCAAAUGAAGCCAAUGAAGCUUUAAUCAGUCUCCAUCAGCAUCAGUUUGCCGUUCAUUGCAAAACAAGAUGAUAGCAGCUUGAGGGAUGGAGAUCCAAAGACAAACUACGUACGCUUGGCGUUAAUCGAUGUAGAUUCAAAGGCGAAAUUCGUCCUCCACAAUGCAAGAUUCACACGUCGCCCCCGCUUGGGCGACUCGGGAGGUGACCCAACCCUAGCCGUCGCUGGGGCCAUCAACCUCUUCCUCCCCUCCCUCCGUCGCCGCAGUGGGACGCUGCCGAGCUAAGCCCGGGGGCCGACCACGGUGGCGGGGGUAUCCCUCCCUCUCGCAGCAUGGGGUGGUGCAGGGCCCCUUGACGUGAAGGAGCGGUCGGCUAGGUCAUGGCGGCACGACGGAUGGCGAUGGUUGCAGUCGGCUUCGUGGGGCAGCAGAGUCGACUCGGCCGGCGGCUGGUGGGGUGACUUCAUAUGGGCGGCGGUGGCGUGGAGGCCUGGUGAUGGGUCCGGCUACAUGCGGGGUAUGGUCUUCGGUUAGAUCUUAUCUGACCGGUGCAACCUGCUCGCUGCCUGGCGGUCCCGUGCACAUGAUGCUGGAUGGAGGUUCUCGAGCAGAUCCGGAUGAAAACCCUACUCUCAACUACUUGCCAAUGCCAGUGAUGGUGACGUUCUUCUGUCUCAUCCCCUUCUUAAAGGCAUUGGCAUGGAGAAGCUCCACACCUCUAUGGGCUCUCAUGGGGGGAAACCCUGGAUCAGUCGAUCGGAUGACGGCGACGCUCUUCUGU
Triticum dicoccoides is the source of this 1534-nucleotide RNA transcript. It is a transcript of the gene named probable E3 ubiquitin-protein ligase ATL44, with no coding region annotated. The record is from RefSeq and is a predicted model, not a curated record. The transcript has 3 exons. NCBI's taxonomy places the organism in Eukaryota, Viridiplantae, Streptophyta, Magnoliopsida, Poales, Poaceae.